UCCCGUCCAUGGAGCCCGAGCUGUUCGCCUGGGGUGCAAACAGCUAUGGGCAACUUGGUCUUGGUCAUAAAGAGGAUGUGCUGGUUCCUCAGGCCCUGACAGAUAUUUCCUGUAAAUGUCAAGACGUUGCAAGCAUUUCUGGAGGAGGGGGACAUUCUGCAGUUACCACUGGUACAGGACAACUCUUUGUAUGUGGCCAUAACAAAGAUGGGCAGUUGGGAUUGAAUCACACAGAGGAUGUGCUGCAUUUUACUUUGUGCACUGCCCUGUCUGGAUUUUGUGUGAAACAAGUUGCAUGUGGCUGGGAUUUUACAAUCAUAUUAGUAGGAUCUGGUCUAGUGCUGUCCUGUGGGUCAAACUCUUUUGGACAACUGGGACUUCCUCAAAUUUCAGGCCUGUGCUUGAUUCCACGAAAGAUUGAGUCUCUCAAAGAGAAGGUAGUGAAUGUUGCUGCAGGACUGAGACAUGCCCUUGCUGCUACAGACAGUGGUUCUGUGCUGCAGUGGGGAACUGGGAUGGCAUCUCGGGCAAAGCGUGCAAGUCAAGGAAAAGCCCUCCCUCUGUUCUUGACAGCAAAGGAGCCCUGUGAAGUGGCAGGUCUGGAUGAUGUAAAGGUGAAGGCAGUUGCUGCAGGCUCCUAUCAUUCGGUGUCCCUCACAGAUGAAGGACACUUGUAUGUCUGGGGCAGCAAUAAACAUGGGCAGCUGGUGAGCAGAGACAUCUUUCUUGCUGAGCCCAAGAAGAUUGACACUCACUGUUUUUCACAUGAAAAGAUUGGAGCAGUUUGGAGUGGCUGGACCCACCUGGUGGCACAGACAGAAGCUGGCAGGGUGUUCACGUGGGGCAGAGUGGACUAUGGGCAGCUUGGAAGGCACGCGGUGGUUCCUGGUGGGCAGCAGAGCACAGCAUCUGAACAGUGCUUGGAGCUGUUGUGUAACACCCCUGUUUCAGUUCCUUGCCUAAAUGGAGCAUCUCAGACACUUCAAACCUGCCAUUACUGGAUUGAGAUGUAUGAAGACUUGGAGUGGAGACGAGCACAUUGCCAGUCAUAACAAGGCAAACUUCCUGAUCCUGAGGGAGCAGAAGGAAUGCACCAGUGGAUUUACAUGACUACAAAAUGAUUUUGUCAGCUGAGUGUGUGUAAUCCCAACUGCAUCUUCCCAUCUAGAAGGUUCAGAGUACUGUUUGUACUGCUGCUCUUGUCUCAUUGCCAUGCUAAAAUCAGAAAGCAUUGUGUACCUGUCUUCUGCUCUGAGUCAUGUCCCAGUGGGCAGGGCUCUCAAACAAUCUUUGCAGUUUGUUCAGCAGGGAGAAGAGAAAGUGUCAAGGGUACAGAGUAGCAGCCUGCCAGUACCUACAAGGAGGUUAAUCAAGAAGAUGAACUUGGAGAAACAAAAGACACAAAUAGAAGCACGAGGUUCGGACUUAAUGUGAGGAAAACCUUUUCCACCACCAGGACGAUCAAGCAGAGGAGCAGGCUGCCUGGGAAGGUUGUACCAUGUGAGCCUUAUGGAAUGAAGAAGAUAUCAUGGCUGAUUUUCUUGGGAGCGGGAGGUUGGACUGUACCUCCAGAGGUCCCUGCAACCCUGGAUAAUCCUGUGAUCCUAACGUCUUGGUUUUGUCCUCAAAACUCUUUCCACACAUGCUUGAGACUGAGAAUUAUGAAGCUUCAGUCCAGUGCUGUAAAAAUAAGCUGUCAGAGGGAUGAGUUUUCAGGGUAGUUGUUAAAAUGUAAUAGGCAAGACUCAAGUUCAGUUUGCAGGAGCGAUGCUUCUUACUAGGGGCAGCCAGUGAGAAAGAAGGAAAUUGAAGAAAUCAUGCUGUUUUUUUCCUGUCAGCUAUAAUACACAUUUUGGGUGCAGCAAAAUGUAUAGAAGUGUUAUGCAAGCAGUUCAGAGCUCUCAAUGUGCCCCUCUGCAUAAAAUAAGGUGCUUGUAUUACUCUGAUAGGGUAGAAGCUGGCAUCUUCUUUGUCAAGCACUGACUUGGGAAGAGAAAGACUGUAACUGAAAUAGCAGCUUGGAAAAACUGCUUCAUGGUUCAGUAGUUCUUUGUUGUUAUUUUGUUUUAGCACAGAAACACUAAAAUUAGCUGUCCUCUCCUUUUUGUUCUUAUUUUCCUUGUACUCCAAAGUUUGUGAAGUAGAAAAUGAGUUGAGAAGCUACUCUGCAGUUUAACUAUCCACGCACUGAAAAUCAGAGCCCUUGAUCUGGAGGCUUAAAAUGAUAAUUUUGAUUUUCAGGGUUUGUUCUGCAGUUUCUCUGGUUAUGUGCUGUCUUUUAGCAUAACUUGCUCUUUGGUCAUAUAAAAUUAAGUUGAAUUGGUUUACACUGACAGUUUUGAUCUAAAUUUAUAAGACAAAGUCUAAUUCUGUGUUCUUCUCCCUGUCCUCUGUUUUCUUUUGAGUAGCAAUAGAUGCACAGGCUGUGGACAGGCUAUUGAAAUUAGUUCAUUAAAAACAGGCUCUGCUCUUCAGAAAAUUAAAAAACCUGAUGUCUGCAAUGUUGUGUUCUUCUGCAAGGGUAAA
Molecule: RNA transcript, 2526 nt
Organism: Cinclus cinclus
Lineage: Eukaryota; Metazoa; Chordata; Aves; Passeriformes; Cinclidae
Gene: SERGEF
Gene name: secretion regulating guanine nucleotide exchange factor
Exons: 11
Source: RefSeq, a predicted model, not a curated record